RNAcentral lists this transfer RNA (73 nucleotides) under Acropyga fuhrmanni. Its description in RNAcentral is "tRNA-Gly". The record is from RNAcentral. Lineage: Eukaryota; Metazoa; Arthropoda; Insecta; Hymenoptera; Formicidae.
AUUUAUUUAGUAUAAAAAAAUAAAAUUACAUUUAAUUUCCAAUUAAAAAAUUUAACAAUUGUUAACAUAAAUA